CAGCCGUAAACAAUGUGCGUUAGGUGUGUCGGUAACCACGCGUUACUGAUGCGCCGAAGAGAAAUCGUGAAACGCACCACCUGGGAAGUACGGUCGCAAGGCUGAAACUUAAAGGAAUUGGCGGGGGAGCACCACAACAGGUGGAGCCUGCGGUUUAAUUUGGACUCAACGCCGGGAAGCUCACCGGAUAGGACAGCAGAAUGAUUGCCGGGCUGAAGACCCUGCAUGACUAGCUGAGAGGAGGUGCAUGGCGUCAGUGACU
RNAcentral lists this ribosomal RNA (262 nucleotides) under uncultured archaeon. RNAcentral's name for it is "partial 16S ribosomal RNA". It matches the Rfam family "Archaeal small subunit ribosomal RNA", at positions 748 to 1008 of the family's 1478-position model. The record is from RNAcentral.